This 1799-nucleotide unclassified non-coding RNA is filed under the name Eurytemora carolleeae. RNAcentral describes it as "uncharacterized LOC111709889". The record is from RNAcentral. Lineage: Eukaryota; Metazoa; Arthropoda; Copepoda; Calanoida; Temoridae.
AACUUAUUAGAUGAAACCAUAUUAUAGAUGAAACCAUGUACCCAGAGAUUUAUUAUUUUCCUUCUAAUCCUUCAAACCAACCUAUCCAUUCAGAAUCAAAUACAACAGAUCUUGGAGAGUAUAAAUGGGAAGGGACAUUUUCUGGAAUCAACGAUGGACAAACUGCUUGAAACAAGAAAAACUUUAGAUGCAGACAUGGGAACAGCUGAACGAAGCGCUGUACGAAUAGGAUUGUGUAACUCAGACUCCUGUGACUGUUUUUCAGGUGUACUCUUCUGCACGUGCUCUCUGUCAAAACCGGUUCUUCAGCUGAGUUCACAAAUCUUCGGGAACUUUCUACCAUCCAUAGACACGAUUCAGCUUUCAGACUGCAAAGAAGUAGUAGUUGAAUAUAUUCCUCAGUUUACUGAACAACUAAGGAGAAUAAUAAUCUUGAACACAACCUCUGUGAAAUUAAAUCAGGGUUCUCUCUCUUUCUCUGGUUCGGGAGAAAGGUUGGUUUUCCUAGGACGCAUCUCCGCACUAUACUUAGCUCCAGGUUCUCUGGGUAAGGGAAUAACAGACCUAUAUAUUGUCUCUACUGGAAUACCAAAAGUCGAAGAAAAAACAUUUUCAGAUUUAUCCGAUCUGGAGGUGCUCGAUUUAGAAAACGUGGUGUUUCCGUUGUUCAAUGAAAGGCUCUUCAACAAGACAUUUCACAACGUGUUCCCCCAGACAUCAACCUUGAAGCUGCUGAGGGUCGUGAACAGUCACCUGGGCAUAAUCUACGGAACCUUCAUCAAGUGUUUCGCAGAGACAAUCAUUAUUGAAAAUACAAGGAUGAGUCUUGAAUCUGACAAUGCAUUUGAUCUUGAGGGAGUUUUUGUCAGUUUAAUUGGGAACCAGAUCGUAGGAAAGGUGAGGGAAUCCCUGAAGGUUGUAACAAGAACCAGUUUACUCCUCCAGAACAAUAUCAUAGAGGACAACUAUAUUAAUACUAUCAGUCUGAUUUUUCCGCAGGAAGAAAUAGAAAGGGUUGUGAUCAGGGAGAGUAGACUUACUCAGGGUACAUCAAACUACAUAAACCUAAACUCCAGUUAUCUAGAGAUAUCCGAUUCUGUUCUACAUCUAGUCGAUGCAAACAUGAUCAGAGCUGUUGUUAAUGUAUUCAAAUUCAGGGACAACGUAAUCAAAAGCUUUGAAACAGACACCUUGAAUUUAAGUGCAAGGAAAACAAUUGAGAUUUCAAACAACUUUUUUGAACACAUCCAGCCUGGAUCCCUGAACAACCUGAAGCUCCUCCCCCAGACCAACAUGGUGAACCCCGCCUUCACCCUCGCCAACAACACCUUCGAGAGCAUGGAGGACGGGUUCAUGAAGCUCGAUAUAUCUGUUUUAAUGAACUUGAAUAGUACUAUGUCAGAUUUGUACUUUAAUACAGAUUGUUCCUGUACUCUAGUGUCGGACGCUGUGCAUAGUAAGAUAUUGAGUUUAGAGAGUUCAAUGCCGCGAAGAAGAUCGAAGAAGUAUUCCAGUGUAGAUGUUAAAGAAGCCUUAGACCGGCUCAAGAAGCUUCUAGAACCUGCAAUACUUUGCAAUGAUCCUGAUGGUGGUAUAGUAAACCUGGAGAUGAGUGGGAUUUGUAAACCUGAUUAUCUUGCAAUUAUUAUAGGGGUCGUCUUUGCUAUUCUCAGUUCUAGGAUGGGGUCUAGUCUGUGUUAAUGAUAAACUUAAGGAAAGAGCAUUGAAACAAUUUAUUAUUCCUCUCUCUCCAUCUAAAGAAGGAGAGUUUGAACUUCAAACUGCUGAAAGCUUUAAAU